This is a non-coding RNA of Ictidomys tridecemlineatus (thirteen-lined ground squirrel), 537 nucleotides long. The record is from RefSeq and is a predicted model, not a curated record. Lineage: Eukaryota; Metazoa; Chordata; Mammalia; Rodentia; Sciuridae.
AUAUCAUGAAGGUGUGUUUGUCAAGGUAGGAGGAGAGAACAUAUUAAAUUUAACAGUUUGUGAGUUUGAUUUACAACUUCCAAAUAUUUGGACAUAUGGAAGCCAGACUGCACUGGACUCUUCUUGGACUCCCACGUAUUAAAUGUAACCCUACCUUCAAAUGCAAACAUCUUGGCCUGGCUCCCAGGACAUGGUUUAAGACAAGCCCCCAGCCAGUGCUACUCCCUUGAUCAAGCAGAACCGUUAAGUCCUGCGCUCCAGAAUGAAAGACAUCUCUGAGCUGCCUCCACUCACUGUCUGAGAAGUUGAGGUCUUCUCUCCGGCCCACCCACUCUGGUGGACUCAGUUGGAGCUCCGUCAGCUUGCGAAUGCUUCUCUUUCUACAGUCCUGCACAGGGCAUUGGUCUCUCGUGUUCUGACCUGGUCCCUGGCCUCCCAAGCUUGCUUUCCAAGGAAUCUCAGCAGACCACAAAAAGAAUCACCCUAUUCACUCUUCUGUAAUCCAGCAUUUUAAUUAAUUAAAAGACAUUAAAUAUC